GAUACGGAGGGAUAUGCAGUCGCAAGUUCUUAUCGCCUUUUACUAUGAGAACCCGUGUUUAUCCCUCAUUAACGUGUCUAUCUCAUUUUUGUGAGGAGUUGAUACUCCUA
This is a small nuclear RNA of 110 nucleotides. It matches the Rfam family "U5 spliceosomal RNA". Rfam says of the family: U5 RNA is a component of both types of known spliceosome. The precise function of this molecule is unknown, though it is known that the 5' loop is required for splice site selection and p220 binding, and that both the 3' stem-loop and the Sm site are important for Sm protein binding and cap methylation. The record is from Rfam.